This 253-nucleotide ribosomal RNA is filed under the name uncultured bacterium. RNAcentral's name for it is "partial 16S ribosomal RNA". It matches the Rfam family "Bacterial small subunit ribosomal RNA", at positions 524 to 776 of the family's 1533-position model. The record is from RNAcentral.
UACGUAGGGUGCAAGCAUUAAUCGGAUUUAUUGGGCGUAAAGGGCGCGUAGGCGGAUGUGCAAGUUAAGUGUGAAAUUCCGAAGCUCAACUUCGGAGCUGCACUUAAGACUGCUUGUCUGGAGGAUUGGCGGAGAAAAUGGAAUUCCACGUGUAGCGGUGAAAUGCGUAGAUAUGUGGAAGAACACCGGUGGCGAAGGCGAUUUUCUAGCUUAUUCCUGACGCUGAGGCGCGAGAGCAAGGGGAGCAAACAGG